CGUAAGCCCAUGCCGGUCGAAGAUACCAGGCCGCUGCGACUGUUUAUUAAAAACACAGCACUCUGCAAACACGAAAGUGGACGUAUAGGGUGUGACGCCUGCCCGGUGCCGGAAGGUUAAUUGAUGGGGUUAGCGCAAGCGAAGCUCUUGAUCGAAGCCCCGGUAAACGGCGGCCGUAACUAUAACGGUCCUAAGGUAGCGAAAUUCCUUGUCGGGUAAGUUCCGACCUGCACGAAUGGCGUAACGAUGGCGGCGCUGUCUCCACCCGAGACUCAGUGAAAUUGAAAUCGCUGUGAAGAUGCAGUGUAUCCGCGGCUAGACGGAAAGACCCCGUGAACCUUUACUAUAGCUUUGCACUGGACUUUGAGCUUGCUUGUGUAGGAUAGGUGGGAGGCUUUGAAGUGGGGACGCCAGUUCUCAUGGAGCCAUCCUUGAAAUACCACCCUGGCAACCUUGAGGUUCUAACUCUGGUCCGUUAUCCGGAUCGAGGACAGUGUAUGGUGGGUAGUUUGACUGGGGCGGUCUCCUCCCAAAGAGUAACGGAGGAGUACGAAGGUGCGCUCAGACCGGUCGGAAAUCGGUCGUAGAGUAUAAAGGCAAAAGCGCGCUUGACUGCGAGACAGACACGUCGAGCAGGUACGAAAGUAGGUCUUAGUGAUCCGGUGGUUCUGUAUGGAAGGGCCAUCGCUCAACGGAUAAAAGGUACUCCGGGGAUAACAGGCUGAUACCGCCCAAGAGUUCAUAUCGACGGCGGUGUUUGGCACCUCGAUGUCGGCUCAUCACAUCCUGGGGCUGAAGCCGGUCCCAAGGGUAUGGCUGUUCGCCAUUUAAAGUGGUACGCGAGCUGGGUUUAGAACGUCGUGAGACAGUUCGGUCCCUAUCUGCCGUGGACGUUUGAGAUUUGAGAGGGGCUGACCUUAGUACGAGAGGACCGGGUUGGACGAACCUCUGGUGUUCCGGUUGUCACGCCAGUGGCAUUGCCGGGUAGCUAUGUUCGGAAAAGAUAACCGCUGAAAGCAUCUAAGCGGGAAACUUGCCUCAAGAUGAGAUCUCACUGGAGCCUUGAGCUCCCUGAAGGGCCGUCGAAGACUACGACGUUGAUAGGU
This 1106-nucleotide ribosomal RNA is filed under the name Pseudomonas sp. ZH-FAD. RNAcentral describes it as "bacterial LSU rRNA". It matches the Rfam family "Bacterial large subunit ribosomal RNA", at positions 1761 to 2861 of the family's 2925-position model. The record is from RNAcentral. Lineage: Bacteria; Pseudomonadati; Pseudomonadota; Gammaproteobacteria; Pseudomonadales; Pseudomonadaceae.